Small nucleolar RNA from Myotis lucifugus (little brown bat), 127 nucleotides. Ensembl annotates it as small nucleolar RNA SNORA31. NCBI's taxonomy places the organism in Eukaryota, Metazoa, Chordata, Mammalia, Chiroptera, Vespertilionidae. The record is from Ensembl.
CUGCAUCCACUGAUAGACCUUGAACAACCUGUUGUUCUUUUGGUUUGCACUGGGAUGCGAAAGAAAAAUAUCCCUGCGCUUUCUGUCUGUCUUUGUGGCGGCCCAGAUUGAAUAAGGGACUACAUCU